Molecule: long non-coding RNA, 2064 nt
Organism: Anser cygnoides (Swan goose)
Lineage: Eukaryota; Metazoa; Chordata; Aves; Anseriformes; Anatidae
Source: Ensembl
AUGUUCCCUGUUUCUGUGGUUGAAGCUUUGAUGAGAAACAAGCCCCGCCUUACCUUGUUAAAACUUGGAAGCUACCACAUAGCAGCUUUCACAAAGGUGAAGGAAGUGAGGAGUUUGGAUUUCAGUGAGGCAAAUACCACUCUUUGCUCUGAUGGCCUCUGUGUUGUUGCAGAACAAGGUUUUUCUGAAAAAGCUUCUGUAGUUCUUCAUGGAAACAUGCCUUGCUUUGUGAAUGACAAUUUCACAUCCUCUCUAGAAAAAUACUGUUUGGAAAAACAUCAGCAAAACAAACAAAUUCUACCAAAAAGUAAACGUAAAAAUAAAAGUCUGGAUAAAGGUGUUAAUGAUAUAAAGUAUCACAAAAAAAUCUUUAGAAGGAAAGUUAAAGGAGAAGAAAUACAGACUGAGAAAGCCCAAGCACAACAGGUUACCUGUGAUUUUGAGGAAAAUUCUGAAAUUUUAAAUAAAACAGAGUUGAUUAGGCUGGGGAAGCAAGGAAUGGACACCAAAGACAAACCAGGUAGCCCAGAAGUUUUUCACAAUAUAUCUGUUGAUUUUAAGGACUUACAGAAUCAUUUCAACAGUCUUGAAUUAAAGAAGAAAGAAGAAACCCUCUCAGAAACGUGCAUCUCUGAUGUGACCAGGGCAUGCACUGGAGUAGAUAUAAUGAAAAUGGAAGAGAAAGGGGAGCAACCUCAGAAACCAACUCACCAAAUAAACUCUUCCGGGAAUAUUGGACUGAAAGAAAAUAAAGACCAGGCCUUGAAAUUACAUAAAUCAAAAGAGAAGAAUUUCUCGUGUCAAAAGGUGGCUGCUGAAAACACGCAAUAUGCAUAUCCUCAGAAAAGUUUUUGGUCAGAGGAAGAGAGUUAUCCACUAAAAAUACUGUCUCCUAUGCAAAAGAGGGCUGUGUGCUUAAGCAAACAACUCCUACCAAAAAGCAAUUUUUAUGCGUAUUUCUGUCAUCUGUCACCACUGGCAGCAGUUAAUGAGCAUAACGUGAAAAUUUAUACAUUGAAAAAAGCAGUGGCUAUGUGUUCUCAGAAGAUAUUUGUACUGAUGCAAGAGAAUGAAUAUUACUCAAAAAAGGUCUGUUUAUUACAAGAGGAGAAUGAGAGAUAUGUUCAGAAGGUUUGUGCACUGGAAGAGGAGAUGAAUGUAUAUUUUCAAUACGCUUUAGAAGAAGUUAGCAUUGCUUCUUUUCAAAAUUUACCUAAUGAGAAUGAAGUUGCUGGUGAAUGUUAUAUCAACAUAUCAGAAGAAAAUAGAAUGAGCCCAGGAGCAAUUUUUGCUGAAACCUUCUCUAAGAAUCUCUCAUAUGUUAAAGAUAAAAAUAGGAAUUCUGAAAAAGAUUCAUUGACAAUUGAAUCAAAUCAACUUCCCAAGAGUGUUUUAUCCCUUGAUGGAAGGAAAAUGAGGUAUUUACAGCUGCUUUCUAACCUGAAAGAAGAAAGAAGUAGAUGCUUCAGAGAAAUAGCUAAAUUAUUACAUGACAAGGAGAACUAUGUAGCAAAAUACAAUGAAUUAAUUAAAGAGAGAGAGAGAAACUUGCAAAGAACAUCUCUUUUAAAAGAUGAAAAAGAAAUUUUAUUGAGAAGUUUGGCAGAAGUAAAAUGUGAACAAGACAAGUACCAAGCCUUGGUUUCAGAACUUCAAGAGUGCAAAGCCAGUUGUUAUCAAACUAUUUCUGAUUUACGGGAGGAAAAAUGUGCACUAAAAAGAGCUAUAGACAGGAUCAAGGAAGAAACUGCGGAACAACUUCAUGAAUUUCAAACAGCAAAUGCAAACUUUAUUUUAGAAAACAACAAAUUAAAAGAAUUAAUAUCUUCUUUGGGUUUCACCUAUGAAGAUGUGAUAAAAGAAAAAUGCUUGGAAACAAAGGAAAAGGUAGUAAACCUAAAAGAAGAAAAUAGAAGUCAACAACGUGAUCUUAAUCCAAAGAAAGUUGAAACAUCAUGCAGUGUAACUCAGACUGAAGAAGAAGGAGUAGACCCCUCCAGCUAUUUCGCCAACAAAGAGGUAAGUAGUACCAAUAAGGAAUGUUAUCAAGCAGGACCUUCUUAA